Molecule: ribosomal RNA, 472 nt
Filed under: uncultured bacterium
Lineage: Bacteria
Description: SSU rRNA
Rfam family: Bacterial small subunit ribosomal RNA
Source: RNAcentral
AGGGCGAACGCUGGCGGCGUGCUUAACACAUGCAAGUCGAGCGGAAAGGCCCUUCGGGGUACUCGAGCGGCGAACGGGUGAGUAACACGUGAGUAAUCUGCCCCUAGCUCUGGGAUAGCUCCGGGAAACCGGGAUUAAUACCGGAUACGACCACCUUAGACAUCUUUUGUGGUGGAAAGAAUUUCGGCUAGGGAUGAGCUCGCGGCCUAUCAGCUUGUUGGUGGGGUAACGCCUACCAAGGCGACGACGGUAGCCGGCCUGAGAGGGCGACCGGCCACACUGGGACUGAGACACGGCCCAGACUCCUACGGGAGGCAGCAGUGGGGAAUAUUGCGCAAUGGGCGAAAGCCUGACGCAGCGACGCCGCGUGGGGGAUGAAGGCCUUCGGGUUGUAAACCCCUUUCAGCAGGGACGAAGCGAAAGUGACGGUACCUGCAGAAGAAGCGCCGGCUAACUACGCGCCAGCAGCCGC